Molecule: long non-coding RNA, 1091 nt
Organism: Sus scrofa (pig)
Lineage: Eukaryota; Metazoa; Chordata; Mammalia; Artiodactyla; Suidae
Source: RefSeq, a predicted model, not a curated record
UCUAUGGUUCCGCGCGCUCUAGGGUUGCCUUUAGAAAGUGCCUUUGUGAAAGAAAAAGCCACUUUUAACUCCGCCGCUAAUGCCAGUAACAAAAGGCAUAAAGGAAACCAGCAUUUUCUCCCAGUGUUAUCUUUUUAUCUUGUCCUACUCUUUUUCUCGUCCUUCUCCUCUCCACUUAAUUUCUUGCCACGCAGGCCUCCUCUCUGGGCACCCCUCCGUGGAAGCCACCCAAGGUGGCGGGACUGCGAGUUCCCACGGGGUCCUUGGCUCGGUAGUCAAGGUGACCUAGGGAGGUUGGCCCUGGAGCUAGGUAAGGGUUGUCCUUAGGUUGGGGGAGGAAGGAAGUCUGGUUCUUCAGUCGUACCCUUUCCUCAGCAGUGGAGGCAGUGGACGACAUUUGCCUAAAAUUAUGUUGGCUGAUGUAGCUGAUGUCCUCAGGGCCCUGAGAUUCGUGGGCAUGGGCGGCGAAUCAGGAAGGUAUUUUGAAUCCACCGAGUCUAGAUUCUGCCCCAGGUGUUAAAGACAAAUGAUUUUUUUUCUGAAUGAAAUAUUUGAUACCCACCUCCACUCCGGUUUUUAUAAGUUAUGGAAAUCAAAUGUGACUUAAAAUUGAGAACUGGGGAGUUCCCAUCAUGGCUCAGCAGUUAACGAAUCUGACUAGCAUCCAUGAGAAUGAAGAUUCGAUCCCUGACCUUGCUCAGUGGGCUACGGAUCCAGCGCUGCCGUGAGCUGUGAUGUUGGUUGCAGACACAGCUCGGAUCCUGCGUCGCUGUGGCUGCAACUACAGCUCCGAUUCGACCUCUAGCCUGGGAACCUCCAUAUGCAGCAGCUGCAGCCCUAAAAAGCAAAAACAAACAAAAAACUGAGAAGUGUUUGGCCCUUUACCUGUUAUCGCACUUAACCACUUAACACCAAGGUGUACCAUUAUUCCCAUUCUACAUCAAGCGAAAAGGAUUUAGAGAAUUAAAGCAACAUGUGCAAAGCAAUGGAGUUUGUAAAGUGACAGAGCCAGAGAAAAAACACUUACUUAUUCUCUACUAAAUCCUGUCUCCAUGCUUAAAGAGUGGUUAAUAAACACACUAUGGAUCACC